This 424-nucleotide ribosomal RNA is filed under the name uncultured bacterium. RNAcentral describes it as "bacterial SSU rRNA". It matches the Rfam family "Bacterial small subunit ribosomal RNA", at positions 355 to 776 of the family's 1533-position model. The record is from RNAcentral.
UGAGGAAUAUUGCGCAAUGGAGGAAACUCUGACGCAGCCAUGCCGCGUGUAGGAAGAAUGUCCUACGGAUUGUAAACUACUUUUAUACAAGAAGAAACUUUAGUACGUGUACUAGAUUGACGGUAUUGUAUGAAUAAGCACCGGCUAACUCCGUGCCAGCAGCCGCGGUAAUACGGAGGGUGCAAGCGUUAUCCGGAUUUAUUGGGUUUAAAGGGUCCGCAGGCGGAAUUCUAAGUCAGUGGUGAAAGCCUACAGCUUAACUGUAGAACUGCCAUUGAUACUGGAAUUCUUGAGUGUGGUUGAAGUAGACGGAAUAUGUCAUGUAGCGGUGAAAUGCAUAGAUAUGACAUAGAACACCAAUUGCGUAGGCAGUUUACUAAACCAUUACUGACGCUCAUGGACGAAAGUGUGGGGAGCGAACAGG